CGGCCGCGGUAUUUUGACCGUGCAAAGGUAGCGCAAUCACUUGUCUUUUAAAUAGAGACCUGUAUGAAUGGCUAAACGAGGGCUUAACUGUCUCCCCCUUCAAGUCAGUGAAAUUGAUCUAUCCGUGCAGAAGCGGGUAUAACCAUACAAGACGAGAAGACCCUUUGGAGCUUAAGGUACAAAAUUCAACCACGUUAAGCAACUUGAUAAAAAGCAAAAACUUAGUGGAACCUGAAAUUUUACCUUCGGUUGGGGCGACCACGGAGGAAAACCAAGCCUCCGAGUGGAAUGGGCCAAACCCCUAAAACCAAGAGAUACAUCUCUAAGCCGCAGAACAUCUGACCAAAAAUGAUCCGGCCAACAAAGCCGAUCAACGGACCAAGUUACCCUAGGGAUAACAGCGCAAUCCUCUCCCAGAGUCCAUAUCGACGAGGGGGUUUACGACCUCGAUGUUGGAUCAGGACAUCCUAAUGGUGCAGCCGCUAUUAAGGGUU
This 494-nucleotide ribosomal RNA is filed under the name Toxabramis houdemeri. RNAcentral describes it as "partial 16S ribosomal RNA". It matches the Rfam family "Bacterial large subunit ribosomal RNA", at positions 1928 to 2573 of the family's 2925-position model. Lineage: Eukaryota; Metazoa; Chordata; Actinopteri; Cypriniformes; Xenocyprididae. The record is from RNAcentral.